Molecule: transfer RNA, 73 nt
Filed under: Macrotyloma biflorum
Lineage: Eukaryota; Viridiplantae; Streptophyta; Magnoliopsida; Fabales; Fabaceae
Description: tRNA-Glu
Source: RNAcentral
CUGGAAUAAAAAAAACAAUUUCGAAAUAGAAAUGAUUAAUAAAAAAUUUCUAUGGAAUUCUGAAAGAGCGAAA